CAAAANCAUAGCUUCCGGAAACUAUAAGAAGUAACGUCUGCCCAGUGACCAAGUUAAACGGCCGCGCUAGUGCUAAGGUAGCAUAAUCAUUUGCCUUUUUAUUGAAGGCUAGUAUGAAUGGAUUAACGAAGCUUAACUGUCUCUAAUUAUAAAAAUAAAAUUGAUUUAAAGGUGAAAAAGCCUUUAUUCCGGUGGAGGACGAAAAGACCCUAUAGAGUUUGUAGUGUAAUAACGUCAUAUUAAACCAAACGUAAUGCACUUUUAUUGGGGCAAUAAAAGAACAAACAAAACUCUUAAAUUAUUCAAUUGCAAUAGCAAUUUUAAGAUCCUUAAAAAGAAUCAAGAAAAACUACCUUAGGGAUAACAGCGUAAUUCUACCUGAGAGAACUAAUCGAAGGAAGGGUUUGCGACCUCGAUGUUGGACUAAGGUAACACUUAAGUGCAGAAGCUUAAAAAGUAGGCCUGUUCGGCCUUUAAUACCUUACAUGAUUUNG
This 494-nucleotide ribosomal RNA is filed under the name Crisularia purpurotincta. RNAcentral's name for it is "partial 16S ribosomal RNA". It matches the Rfam family "Bacterial large subunit ribosomal RNA", at positions 1808 to 2608 of the family's 2925-position model. Lineage: Eukaryota; Metazoa; Bryozoa; Gymnolaemata; Cheilostomatida; Bugulidae. The record is from RNAcentral.